This 1980-nucleotide ribosomal RNA is filed under the name Salmonella enterica subsp. enterica serovar Enteritidis. RNAcentral describes it as "partial 23S ribosomal RNA". It matches the Rfam family "Bacterial large subunit ribosomal RNA", at positions 942 to 2899 of the family's 2925-position model. Lineage: Bacteria; Pseudomonadati; Pseudomonadota; Gammaproteobacteria; Enterobacterales; Enterobacteriaceae. The record is from RNAcentral.
ACCCGAUGCAAACUGCGAAUACCGGAGAAUGUUAUCACGGGAGACACACGGCGGGUGCUAACGUCCGUCGUGAAGAGGGAAACAACCCAGACCGCCAGCUAAGGUCCCAAAGUCAUGGUUAAGUGGGAAACGAUGUGGGAAGGCCCAGACAGCCAGGAUGUUGGCUUAGAAGCAGCCAUCAUUUAAAGAAAGCGUAAUAGCUCACUGGUCGAGUCGGCCUGCGCGGAAGAUGUAACGGGGCUAAACCAUGCACCGAAGCUGCGGCAGCGACACUGUGUGUUGUUGGGUAGGGGAGCGUUCUGUAAGCCUGUGAAGGUGUGUCGUGAGGCAUGCUGGAGGUAUCAGAAGUGCGAAUGCUGACAUAAGUAACGAUAAAGCGGGUGAAAAGCCCGCUCGCCGGAAGACCAAGGGUUCCUGUCCAACGUUAAUCGGGGCAGGGUGAGUCGACCCCUAAGGCGAGGCCGAAAGGCGUAGUCGAUGGGAAACGGGUUAAUAUUCCCGUACUUGGUGUUACUGCGAAGGGGGGACGGAGAAGGCUAUGUUGGCCGGGCGACGGUUGUCCCGGUUUAAGCGUGUAGGUGUGUGUUCCAGGUAAAUCCGGUUCACUUUAACACUGAGGCGUGACGACGAGGCACUACGGUGCUGAAGCAACAAAUGCCCUGCUUCCAGGAAAAGCCUCUAAGCAUCAGGUAACAUCAAAUCGUACCCCAAACCGACACAGGUGGUCAGGUAGAGAAUACCAAGGCGCUUGAGAGAACUCGGGUGAAGGAACUAGGCAAAAUGGUGCCGUAACUUCGGGAGAAGGCACGCUGACACGUAGGUGAAGUGAUUUACUCAUGGAGCUGAAGUCAGUCGAAGAUACCAGCUGGCUGCAACUGUUUAUUAAAAACACAGCACUGUGCAAACACGAAAGUGGACGUAUACGGUGUGACGCCUGCCCGGUGCCGGAAGGUUAAUUGAUGGGGUCAGCGCAAGCGAAGCUCCUGAUCGAAGCCCCGGUAAACGGCGGCCGUAACUAUAACGGUCCUAAGGUAGCGAAAUUCCUUGUCGGGUAAGUUCCGACCUGCACGAAUGGCGUAAUGAUGGCCAGGCUGUCUCCACCCGAGACUCAGUGAAAUUGAACUCGCUGUGAAGAUGCAGUGUACCCGCGGCAAGACGGAAAGACCCCGUGAACCUUUACUAUAGCUUGACACUGAACAUUGAGCCUUGAUGUGUAGGAUAGGUGGGAGGCUUUGAAGUGUGGACGCCAGUCUGCAUGGAGCCGACCUUGAAAUACCACCCUUUAAUGUUUGAUGUUCUAACGUGGACCCGUUACCCGGGUUGCGGACAGUGUCUGGUGGGUAGUUUGACUGGGGCGGUCUCCUCCUAAAGAGUAACGGAGGAGCACGAAGGUUGGCUAAUCCUGGUCGGACAUCAGGAGGUUAGUGCAAUGGCAUAAGCCAGCUUGACUGCGAGCGUGACGGCGCGAGCAGGUGCGAAAGCAGGUCAUAGUGAUCCGGUGGUUCUGAAUGGAAGGGCCAUCGCUCAACGGAUAAAAGGUACUCCGGGGAUAACAGGCUGAUACCGCCCAAGAGUUCAUAUCGACGGCGGUGUUUGGCACCUCGAUGUCGGCUCAUCACAUCCUGGGGCUGAAGUAGGUCCCAAGGGUAUGGCUGUUCGCCAUUUAAAGUGGUACGCGAGCUGGGUUUAGAACGUCGUGAGACAGUUCGGUCCCUAUCUGCCGUGGGCGCUGGAGAACUGAGGGGGGCUGCUCCUAGUACGAGAGGACCGGAGUGGACGCAUCACUGGUGUUCGGGUUGUCAUGCCAAUGGCACUGCCCGGUAGCUAAAUGCGGAAGAGAUAAGUGCUGAAAGCAUCUAAGCACGAAACUUGCCCCGAGAUGAGUUCUCCCUGAGACUUAAAGUCUCCUGAAGGAACGUUGAAGACGACGACGUUGAUAGGCCGGGUGUGUAAGCGCAGCGAUGCGUUGAGCUAACCGGU